UGAUAUGUCUUAUGCAUAUUAUUCCUUUUGCAGGUGAAUAAUGCUGGUGUUAAUUACAAUCUCGGGGCUGACAAUUCA
RNAcentral lists this small RNA (78 nucleotides) under Salix viminalis (osier). The record is from RNAcentral. Lineage: Eukaryota; Viridiplantae; Streptophyta; Magnoliopsida; Malpighiales; Salicaceae.